Olea europaea var. sylvestris is the source of this 713-nucleotide long non-coding RNA. RefSeq lists it as uncharacterized. The record is from RefSeq and is a predicted model, not a curated record. The transcript has 3 exons. NCBI's taxonomy places the organism in Eukaryota, Viridiplantae, Streptophyta, Magnoliopsida, Lamiales, Oleaceae.
GUUAGCAAAAUGAGUUGCUUGUUAUUGCCUUCUGCAGAAAAAUUUUCUUCCUUGUAAUGCUUGUUUAUAAUUUCAUAACUCACAUUGAAAUUGUUGGUGCCGAGAAGUAGAAUAUUGAAUAGGGUAUACUCAUCUGUAGGUACAAACUGUAAAAUAUACAAGAAUUUUCAAGGGAUUAAUGAAUUUAUUCUAUUAUUUGAUCGCAAAAUAUGUUUUCUCUAACACGCAGGUUCUUACCAAUGGCAUAGAAGUAAAACUACAAAGGAACGCGCUAAGUGUAAUUGAAGCUCCUACUGGGAACGAGGAGGACCGAGGACAAUGACAUUGAAUUUGAAAAUGUGCAGUGGAAUUGCUCAGAUAUGGGGUCGGGAGUUGUGAGCUUGUGACAGUGGAAUUCUUGAAAGUGUAACUCCAAAGUUUUCGUCAAAAUUCUACUUGUCAGGUUAAUCAUUGAGCAUCAGAUAUAGACUCAUACACCAUGCCUCCUAAAUAUGAGUCUGGUGCUCAAAAGAGAAAAAGGAAACGAACUGAGAUUUCAUUAAUUCAAAGUCAAGCAGGGGAUAUUGGCAAGUACUUUAAAAGCAACAAUAUGAAUACGUUGAAUGAGGAUGAAGUAGAGAUUCAACCUGCAUGUGUUAAUGAAGUAGAUGAUAAGGAUGAAGAAGUGAGUCAACCUGCCUAUGUUGUAGUAGAUGAUAAGGAAGAAGAGGUGA